AUUGAACGCUGGCGGCAUGCCUACACAUGCAAGUCGAACGGCAGCACGGGUGCUUGCACCUGGUGGCGAGUGGCGAACGGGUGAGUAAUACAUCGGAACAUGUCCUGUAGUGGGGGAUAGCCCGGCGAAAGCCGGAUUAAUACCGCAUACGAUCUACGGAUGAAAGCGGGGGACCUUCGGGCCUCGCGCUAUAGGGUUGGCCGAUGGCUGAUUAGCUAGUUGGUGGGGUAAAGGCCUACCAAGGCGACGAUCAGUAGCUGGUCUGAGAGGACGACCAGCCACACUGGGACUGAGACACGGCCCAGACUCCUACGGGAGGCAGCAGUGGGGAAUUUUGGACAAUGGGCGAAAGCCUGAUCCAGCAAUGCCGCGUGUGUGAAGAAGGCCUUCGGGUUGUAAAGCACUUUUGUCCGGAAAGAAAUCCUUGGCCCUAAUACGGUCGGGGGAUGACGGUACCGGAAGAAUAAGCACCGGCUAACUACGUG
This 485-nucleotide ribosomal RNA is filed under the name uncultured bacterium. RNAcentral describes it as "partial 16S ribosomal RNA". It matches the Rfam family "Bacterial small subunit ribosomal RNA", at positions 30 to 507 of the family's 1533-position model. The record is from RNAcentral.